This 360-nucleotide ribosomal RNA is filed under the name Verrucomicrobiota bacterium. RNAcentral describes it as "Verrucomicrobia bacterium (freshwater metagenome) partial 23S ribosomal RNA". It matches the Rfam family "Bacterial large subunit ribosomal RNA", at positions 2566 to 2925 of the family's 2925-position model. The record is from RNAcentral. Lineage: Bacteria; Pseudomonadati; Verrucomicrobiota.
CAAGGGUUGGGCUGUUCGCCCAUUAAAGCGGUACGCGAGCUGGGUUUAGAACGUCGUGAGACAGUUCGGUCCCUAUCCUCUGCAGCCGGAGGAAAUUUGAGGAAGGCUAUCCCUAGUACGAGAGGACCGGGAUGGACGUAGCUCUAGUGUGCCAGUUGUCCUGCCAAGGGCACGGCUGGUUGGCUACCUACGGAAGGGAUAAGCGCUGAAAGCAUCUAAGUGCGAAACCCGUUCCAAGAUGAGAUUUCCCACUGGGUUAACCAGGUAAGGCCUGUGGUAGACCACCACGUUGAUAGGCCGGAGGUGUACGUGCGGUAACGCAUUCAGCCGACCGGUACUAAUCGGCCGAGGGCUUGGAUC